This is an RNA transcript of Schistocerca cancellata (South American locust), 1223 nucleotides long. It is a transcript of the gene named CARD- and ANK-domain containing inflammasome adapter protein-like, with no coding region annotated. The transcript is spliced from 2 exons. The record is from RefSeq and is a predicted model, not a curated record. NCBI's taxonomy places the organism in Eukaryota, Metazoa, Arthropoda, Insecta, Orthoptera, Acrididae.
AUCGCACCCUGUUUCCAUCACGAGACUUGCACUUCACAUAUAUUGUUGUUCAGUGUUUGCGAACGGGAGGCUGUGUAACUGUGCGUUAAGCUGAGCUAGAAGAAAUCUGACAAUAGCGUACUGUAGGUGGAAUAUGUCUGCCGAAAAAAGAGUGAGGAUUCUGGAGGCAGCUUACAAUGGAGCUGUGGAAGAGCUGAAAGAACUGCUGUGUGUGGGGACGGACGUAGGACUGAGGGACGAGCACGAGAUGACCGCCCUGCACUGUGCGGUGGAAGGUGGAAGUGUGGAGGCGGUUAGAAUUCUCCUUGACAGUGGGGCAGAUGUGAAUGCCAGGAACCAGGAGUGGGACACGCCCCUGCACAUCGCUGCGUUCUUCGGUUACGUGGCCAUCGUGCGGCUGCUGCUGUCAGUGUCGGCGGACCCGAGUCCCAGCUGCCAGAAAGGGUGGACGCCACUGCACUGGGCAGCGCAGGAGGGGCACGCCGAGGUGGUGGCCGCACUUUUAGGUACGGGAGCAGACACGGGCAUCAGGGACGUAGAGGGGAGGACGCCGCUGGACCUUGCCAGGCAGUACGGCAGAUGGGAGCUGGUCACUAUUCUCACAUAAGGACGUCAGUUUACUAUGUGUAUGAGUAGCUAUCAAUUGCACUGAUAACUAGAGACUGGAUUAUGGGCAAUGUAAAAGGUCAAAAUAUAUGUACAAAUUGCUUAAAAUAUGCACGAAAAAUGUUGAAACGUAAAAGAUAAAGUAAUAAAAAACAUAGCAGUUACUAUGUGCAAUAUGUCUCAAAGUUGGACCUGUGCAUUUCGAUUGCAAGGAAGAGCACUGGACACAUGAAAAAUUUGGACAUUUAGAAUGGUUGUUUCGUGACCUGUAUACUUUGUGGUAGAGGUUUGGCAGUGUCGUGUUUGAGGUUAGUUUUUAAAAACUGCAAAAACAAGAUGCACAUUGUGUUUCAAUAGCUGCAAAAUGAUUGAUAUGCACAGGUCCAGCUUUAAGAUAUAUUGCACACAGAGGAGCAUGGAUGAGAAAUUUGCAAUAGGUUAUUUUGGAAACUACAUACAAUAAGGAAUUUUUUUGAAGAACAUUAACAUUUAAAUAAUAUUAUUGGACUAAAGAAUCAUUUACAAAUUAUUUAAAUUUUGCUGAUAUUGUAAAGAUCAACAAUCAGGUACAGCUCCAAAGGUUCAAAGCCUGAGCUAUUUUAUUCAAUAACUGAACA